GAUGAACGCUGGCGGCGUGCCUAAUACAUGCAAGUCGAGCGAACGGACGAGAAGCUUGCUUCUCUGAUGUUAGCGGCGGACGGGUGAGUAACACGUGGAUAACCUACCUAUAAGACUGGGAUAACUUCGGGAAACCGGAGCUACUACUGGAUAAUAUUUUGAACCGCAUGGUUCAAAAGUGAAAGACGGUCUUGCUGUCACUUAUAGCUGGAUCCGCGCUGCAUUAGCUAGUUGGUAAGGUAACGGCUUACCAAGGCUACGAUGCAUAGCCGACCUGAGAGGGUGAUCGGCCACACUGGAACUGAGACACGGUCCAGACUCCUACGGGAGGCAGCAGUAGGGAAUCUUCCACAAUGGGCGAAAGCCUGACGGAGCAACGCCGCGUGAGUGAUGAAGGUCUUCGGAUCGUAAAACUCUGUUAUUAGGGAAGAACAUAUGUGUAAGUAACUGUGCACAUCUUGACGGUACCUAAUCAGAAAGCCACGGCUAACUACGUG
Molecule: ribosomal RNA, 497 nt
Filed under: uncultured bacterium
Lineage: Bacteria
Description: partial 16S ribosomal RNA
Rfam family: Bacterial small subunit ribosomal RNA
Source: RNAcentral